GACGAACGCUGGCGGCGUGCUUAACACAUGCAAGUCGAACGGAAAGGCCCUGCUUUUGUGGGGUGCUCGAGUGGCGAACGGGUGAGUAACACGUGAGUAACCUGCCCUUGACUUUGGGAUAACUUCAGGAAACUGGGGCUAAUACCGGAUAGGAGCUCCUGCUGCAUGGUGGGGGUUGGAAAGUUUCGGCGGUUGGGGAUGGACUCGCGGCUUAUCAGCUUGUUGGUGGGGUAGUGGCUUACCAAGGCUUUGACGGGUAGCCGGCCUGAGAGGGUGACCGGCCACAUUGGGACUGAGAUACGGCGCAGACUCCUACGGGAGGCAGCAGUGGGGAAUAUUGCACAAUGGGCGGAAGCUUGAUGCAGCAACGCCGCGUGCGGGAUGACGGCCUUCGGGUUGUAAACCGCUUUCGCCUGUGACGAAGCGUGAGUGACGGUAAUGGGUAAAGAAGCACCGGCUAACUACGUG
Molecule: ribosomal RNA, 468 nt
Filed under: uncultured bacterium
Lineage: Bacteria
Description: partial 16S ribosomal RNA
Rfam family: Bacterial small subunit ribosomal RNA
Source: RNAcentral